UUCGAUCUUAUGAUAUACAUGCAGUCGAGCGGACAGAUGGGAGCUUGCUCCCUGAUGUUAGCGGCGGACGGGUGAGUAACACGUGGGUAACCUGCCUGUAAGACUGGGAUAACUCCGGGAAACCGGGGCUAAUACCGGAUGGUUGUUUGAACCGCAUGGUUCAAACAUAAAAGGUGGCUUCGGCUACCACUUACAGAUGGACCCGCGGCGCAUUAGCUAGUUGGUGAGGUAACGGCUCACCAAGGCAACGAUGCGUAGCCGACCUGAGAGGGUGAUCGGCCACACUGGGACUGAGACACGGCCCAGACUCCUACGGGAGGCAGCAGUAGGGAAUCUUCCGCAAUGGACGAAAGUCUGACGGAGCAACGCCGCGUGAGUGAUGAAGGUUUUCGGAUCGUAAAGCUCUGUUGUUAGGGAAGAACAAGUACCGUUCGAAUAGGGCGGUACCUUGACGGUACCUAACCAGAAAGCCACGGCUAACUACGUGCCAGCAGCCGCGGUAAUACGUAGGUGGCAAGCGUUGUCCGGAAUUAUUGGGCGUAAAGGGCUCGCAGGCGGUUUCUUAAGUCUGAUGUGAAAGCCCCCGGCUCAACCGGGGAGGGUCAUUGGAAACUGGGGAACUUGAGUGCAGAAGAGGAGAGUGGAAUUCCACGUGUAGCGGUGAAAUGCGUAGAGAUGUGGAGGAACACCAGUGGCGAAGGCGACUCUCUGGUCUGUAACUGACGCUGAGGAGCGAAAGCGUGGGGAGCGAACAGGAUUAGAUACCCUGGUAGUCCACGCCGUAAACGAUGAGUGCUAAGUGUUAGGGGGUUUCCGCCCCUUAGUGCUGCAGCUAACGCAUUAAGCACUCCGCCUGGGGAGUACGGUCGCAAGACUGAAACUCAAAGGAAUUGACGGGGGCCCGCACAAGCGGUGGAGCAUGUGGUUUAAUUCRAAGCAACGCGAAGAACCUUWCCAGGUCUUGACAUCCUCUGACAAUCCUAGAGAUAGGACGUCCCCUUCGGGGGCAGAGUGACAGGUGGUGCAUGGUUGUCGUCAGCUCGUGUCGUGAGAUGUUGGGUUAAGUCCCGCAACGAGCGCAACCCUUGAUCUUAGUUGCCAGCAUUCAGUUGGGCACUCUAAGGUGACUGCCGGUGACAAACCGGAGGAAGGUGGGGAUGACGUCAAAUCAUCAUGCCCCUUAUGACCUGGGCUACACACGUGCUACAAUGGACAGAACAAASGGCAGCKAAACCGCGAGGUUAAGCCAAUCCCACAAAUCUGUUCUCAGUUCGGAUCGCAGUCUGCAACUCGACUGCGUGAAGCUGGAAUCGCUAGUAAUCGCGGAUCAGCAUGCCGCGAU
Molecule: ribosomal RNA, 1342 nt
Filed under: Bacillus sp. SGE172(2010)
Lineage: Bacteria; Bacillati; Bacillota; Bacilli; Caryophanales; Bacillaceae
Description: bacterial SSU rRNA
Rfam family: Bacterial small subunit ribosomal RNA
Source: RNAcentral